This 476-nucleotide ribosomal RNA is filed under the name uncultured bacterium. RNAcentral describes it as "bacterial SSU rRNA". It matches the Rfam family "Bacterial small subunit ribosomal RNA", at positions 30 to 524 of the family's 1533-position model. The record is from RNAcentral.
AUUGAACGCUGGCGGCAUGCUUUACACAUGCAAGUCGAACGGGCUUGGGGGCUUGCUCCCAAGUUAGUGGCGAACGGGUGAGUAAUACAUCGGAACGUACCGUGUAGUGGGGGAUAACGUAGCGAAAGUUACGCUAAUACCGCAUACGAUCUACGGAUGAAAGCAGGGGACCUUCGGGCCUUGUGCUAUACGAGCGGCCGAUGUCUGAUUAGCUAGUUGGUGAGGUAAAGGCUCACCAAGGCGACGAUCAGUAGCGGGUCUGAGAGGAUGAUCCGCCACACUGGGACUGAGACACGGCCCAGACUCCUACGGGAGGCAGCAGUGGGGGAAUCUUGCGCAAUGGGCGAAAGCCUGACGCAGCAACGCCGCGUGGGGGAUGAAGGCUCUCGGGUUGUAAACCCCUUUCAGCAGGGACGAAUCAAGACGGUACCUGCAGAAGAAGCCCCGGCUAACUACGUGCCAGCAGCCGCGGUAAU